GCAAGUCGAGCGCACCUUCGGGUGAGCGGCGGACGGGUUAGUAACGCGUGGGAACGUACCCUUCGGUAUGGAAUAGCCUCGGGAAACUGAGAGUAAUACCGUAUACGCCCUUCGGGGGAAAGAUUUAUCGGUGAAGGAUUAGCCCGCGUAAGAUUAGAUAGUUGGUGGGGUAAUGGCCUACCAAGUCUACGAUCUAUAGCUGGUUUGAGAGGAUGAUC
This 218-nucleotide ribosomal RNA is filed under the name uncultured bacterium. RNAcentral describes it as "partial 16S ribosomal RNA". It matches the Rfam family "Bacterial small subunit ribosomal RNA", at positions 57 to 305 of the family's 1533-position model. The record is from RNAcentral.